UAUCUUGCUAAUUGAAUUGGAUUUUCUUUAAACUUAGUUACAAACCUAGGCAUGCUUUCUUAGGAUCAAUACUGAUUGAAAUAAAUGUGACUCACUUGCCAAAUAUUUUUACACUGUUAAUGAUUCUUCUGUACAUUUAUCCUCAUACAACACCACAACCAUACCCUCUGUUUUCAGUCUUUAGGCUGUGGUGCUGGUUUCUUAUGCAGUCAAAACAGUAGCACCAGCACAACAGGAACUGAUCAGCUGGGAGAAACAAAAAGCGGGGAACGCGGGGUGGACCCCAGAAACAGCCCUAUCAGGACUGAGAUGGAGUGCAAGUUGGUGGGGGUUGGAACAGGAAGACAGAGGUUGAGGAAGUUAAGCAAGUUAAACCACAUGAGCUGGAGGGCAGCCCAACAGCCUCUUCAUUUAUUUACCAUCAAGUUGCAGAGGGUUGGAAUGGGCUGAGAUAACAACAGGCCAGAGACGCACAGUCACGAUGCUUCCAUAUCUGCAUGGUGGCUCCAGCUUAUCUGCAGUCAUAAAAACAAAAAUGUAGGUAGGGUAGUUCUAUUCCCUUCAUUACAACAAUUCGCUUAUUUGCUGAAA
Lacerta agilis (Sand lizard) is the source of this 591-nucleotide long non-coding RNA. RefSeq lists it as uncharacterized. The record is from RefSeq and is a predicted model, not a curated record. The transcript has 2 exons. NCBI's taxonomy places the organism in Eukaryota, Metazoa, Chordata, Lepidosauria, Squamata, Lacertidae.